UAAGUGCUCCGUGCCUGCAAGGA
RNAcentral lists this non-coding RNA (23 nucleotides) under Mus musculus (house mouse). The record is from RNAcentral. Lineage: Eukaryota; Metazoa; Chordata; Mammalia; Rodentia; Muridae.